This is a long non-coding RNA of Aethina tumida (small hive beetle), 562 nucleotides long. RefSeq lists it as uncharacterized. The transcript is spliced from 4 exons. Lineage: Eukaryota; Metazoa; Arthropoda; Insecta; Coleoptera; Nitidulidae. The record is from RefSeq and is a predicted model, not a curated record.
GACGUGUCCUCUGUUGUUACACGGGUUUUCGACAAUUUUCACUAAUUAUAUCAUUGUGGUACAGUUGUAAAUGUGUCGUUUGGUUAUUUAUGUUUCUCAAAAGUGAUUUGUGUGAUUUUAACGCAGGAUUUUAUAGAAAUUUCAACAAAACUUAGGAGGGAAAUCCAAUAAGGCAUUAACUGUUCUGGUAUUUAUAUUGGCAGUUUCUAGCUAUUUUAAUUGAAAUUAUUGCUUAAUUGGUACAGGAGGGAAAUCCAAUAAGGUAUUAACUAUUCUGGUAUUGAUAUUGGCAGUUUUAUGCCAUUCUAAUUGAAAUUGUUGUUUAAUUGAUACAGAACAUCGAAAGGCUUCAAACAAGGGAGGACAUUUAUCCCGGAGAUUUAUUUGUUUCGCCUUUGUGGUCAACAAAUGGAUGCAAAUCCGUAUAAAUGUCCCCGUAAUCACAAUACACCCGAGCCUCCCUUUUUUAUGUGUUUAUACAGUCUAAUUGAAAGUACCCACACAUAAAAAUCAAUUUGGGGCAAGUCGGGUGUUGUCUUUUGUCGCACGGCGAUGGGGGUGC